UAGCGAUCAAUUCUCUCGCUAUACAGAUAUGUGAUUCCUCCUAAUCAAUUUAAAAUCCCUAAUUCAAAUCUAAUCAUCCAUUAAAGAAAAGUGGAACUAAUUGAAGUGAUUAGGCUUGGUCUAGGUGAAUCAAUAAAGAUGGAAAAUAGAGAGAGAAUCACUCUAGGGUAGGUUAGUCAAGGGGUUUGAUCUAUCAAUGAUCAUGAUAUCCAAAGCAAAGAUC
RNAcentral lists this long non-coding RNA (223 nucleotides) under Elaeis guineensis (African oil palm). RNAcentral describes it as "long non-coding RNA (EGUI_LNC040713)". Lineage: Eukaryota; Viridiplantae; Streptophyta; Magnoliopsida; Arecales; Arecaceae. The record is from RNAcentral.